RNAcentral lists this long non-coding RNA (546 nucleotides) under Nicotiana benthamiana. Its description in RNAcentral is "long non-coding RNA (NBEN_LNC026171)". The record is from RNAcentral. Lineage: Eukaryota; Viridiplantae; Streptophyta; Magnoliopsida; Solanales; Solanaceae.
GUUAAACCCUCUGUACUAAGUAGUACAGACGAAAACAGCCCGUGAGAGAGAGAGAGAGAGAGGAGAAGAAGAUGAACAAGAAAAAGCUGAAAAUUCUUGUUUCUCUCUUCGCUCUCAACUCAAUCACUCUCUAUCUCUACUUCUCUUCCCACCCUGAUCACAAAUCCCCCCAAAACCACUUUUCCUUGUCGGAAAACCACCAUCAUAAUUUCCACUCUUCAAUCACUUCUCAAUAUUCCAAGCCUUGGCCUAUUUUGCCCUCCUACCUCCCUUGGUCUCAAAACCCUAAUGUUUCUCGUCGCAAAUCCCCCCAGAACCACUUUUCCUCGUCGGAAAACCACCAUCAUAAUUUCCACUCUUCAAUCACUUCCCAAUAUUCCAGGCCUUGGCCUAUUUUGCCCUCCUACCUCCCUUGGUCUCAAAACCCUAAUGUUGCUUGGAGAUCAUGCGAGGGUUACUUCGGUAAUGGUUUUACUCUCAAAGUUGAUCUUCUCAAAACUUCGCCGGAGCUUCACCGGAAAUUCGGCGAAAACACCGUCUUCGGAG